Molecule: ribosomal RNA, 481 nt
Filed under: uncultured bacterium
Lineage: Bacteria
Description: bacterial SSU rRNA
Rfam family: Bacterial small subunit ribosomal RNA
Source: RNAcentral
AGGCAGCAGUAAGGAAUAUUGGGCAAUGGACGCAAGUCUGACCCAGCCAUGCCGCGUGCAGGAUGACAGCCUUAUGGGUUGUAAACUGCUUUUAUCAGGGAAUAACCCCCCGUACGUGUACGGGGCUGAAUGUACCUGAAGAAUAAGCAUCGGCUAACUCCGUGCCAGCAGCCGCGGUAAUACGGAGGAUGCAAGCGUUAUCCGGAUUUAUUGGGUUUAAAGGGUGCGCAGGCGGAUAAGUAAGUCAGUGGUGAAAUCUCUCGGCUCAACCGAGAAACUGCCAUUGAUACUGUUUAUCUUGAGUGUAAAUGAAGUGGGCGGAAUGUAGCAUGUAGCGGUGAAAUGCAUAGAUAUGMUACAGAACACCAAUUGCGAAGGCAGCUCACUAAAUUACAACUGACGCUCAUGCACGAAAGCGUGGGGAUCAAACAGGAUUAGAUACCCUGGUAGUCCCCUCAGUGACGAUGAUUACUCGUUGUUG